Molecule: transfer RNA, 88 nt
Filed under: Fragilariopsis kerguelensis
Lineage: Eukaryota; Bacillariophyta; Bacillariophyceae; Bacillariales; Bacillariaceae
Description: partial tRNA
Source: RNAcentral
UUAGUGGUUAAGGCAAUGGAUUGCUAGUGAUAAUUAUAAUGCAAGUACCUACUGCACUUUGUGCGCGGAGGUUCGAACCCUAUCAUUG